GUGCACACUUUGGCAGCAUGUAUACUAAAAUUGGAACGAAACAGAGAAGAUUAGCACGGCCCCUGUGCAAGGAUGACAUGCAAAUUCGUGAAGCAGUCCAUAUUUAA
RNAcentral lists this small nuclear RNA (107 nucleotides) under Physeter macrocephalus (sperm whale). Lineage: Eukaryota; Metazoa; Chordata; Mammalia; Artiodactyla; Physeteridae. The record is from RNAcentral.